CUUUGACAGAAUUAAUUAUUUUUUGCUCUGACUUCCACAUUUAUCACUGAAUUUAUCGUACGAUCUGCUUCCUGCAAAACUACACAUAGAGCGUUUAUAUUCAGAAAUGCAGAUUAUUUUUUAAAUCAAAAUGGAAAUAAACAUUUUUUGCUUUAUACAUUUAUCCAGAUUUAGAAAAUACUAGAAAUAAAUUCUUUAACUUGACAGCAGAAAACCUCUUCUCACGACCUUAAACUAAAACCCAUCCAGUGUGGAAUAUAGUUGAACCAGUUAACAAAUGUCUGCUUCAUUUAAACUCAAUCUGCAUCUGUUUCAUGUCCUAAUCUACAGGAUUUAGAGUUCCUGUUCUCCCCUGAAGUGACUGUUUCAGCAGGUUGAAACCAGUGACAGAUGUGCUGCAGCACGCAGUCAGUGAGAGAAACGUCUGGAACAACUCGUGACUCAUCUCAGAGAUCAGCCUCACAAACUUUCCUCCUGUGCACGAGGACACGUCUCAGCAUCGUUACUGAGCUGUUUAACUGCUGAAGACAUUUACUUUGAAAACUACGAGAUGAAUCACCGAUGUUGAUGGAGAACCAGAACCUCAUCAUGCUGACAGCCUGUAGAGGAAUUAUAGUUUCUGUUCUCCAGGUCUGUGGACUUUUGAGAGUGGACUUUGUUUUAUUUUUAUUUUAUUGAUGCGAGCCAAAAAGAAAAUAAAUUAAUAACAUAA
Molecule: long non-coding RNA, 712 nt
Organism: Austrofundulus limnaeus
Lineage: Eukaryota; Metazoa; Chordata; Actinopteri; Cyprinodontiformes; Rivulidae
Exons: 2
Source: RefSeq, a predicted model, not a curated record